UCUAUAUAAACUAGAGAGGCUAUUGAAAUCUUUUUUCAAAACCACGUUGUUGUCAUAAAUCAGAAUAAAAAAACUUAGCAUUCGUUUGUAUCUGUUGGCACUCUCAUUAUAUUAUUAGAGACAACAGCUCAUUUCUUUUUCGUUGCUGUCACCAUUGCCAUACAUCUCAACUGCUACUCAACUCUUGAUUGUCUUCACAUAGGUUUAAAACAAAAAGAAGAAAAUAACCUUGUUAUUAAUAUAGAGGUCUAAUUGAGACAAAUAAAUAUAAGUGAAAAAAAAAAAGUUGAGUGGGGCAAUUUCAUACGCCCCACUUGAUAAAAGAGAGCAAAGAUGAUAUGGUGGCCGAGCUGGCUCUCCGCUUAGUGAACAUGUAAAAUAUAAAUAAAUAAAUGUGUGCCAGCCAUAGUUUAAUUGUAGUUGCUCAUGAUCAGAUCGCCUACAUAUGCAAUCCUUAGUGUUACAUACUUCUGGACGUGAUGCAUCUCUUUUUAUUUCAGAUAAAUUGCAAGAUUUAGAGGACUUACAUUCGGCAUCUAGAGAUUUUUAUGGACCAACCCACGCUACAUGUUUAGUAGCUGUGCAUUUGGCUUCAAUCUGUGUUAAACAACGCUGUUGGGCUUGUCUGAAAUAGCACAACACAAAGCAGACCCAACUUAGGCCUCUUUGGACACAAACGCACUGUAUAUAUCAUAAAAGGUUAAUUAAUAAAAUAAAAUAAAAUGAGUCUUUCAGCUCCUAACAGAUCCUGAAUUUUCGGGGAUAUCAGGAUCCCACAGAUUUUCUGUGAGAUCCUCUUCUAAUUAAAAAAAUAAUAAUAAUAAAACUUGUGCAAUCAUCACAAGAAUUGUUUGUGUAGAUUUGUUGCUCUGUAAAUAGAGAGGGCACGGAGAAUCGNUUCAAAAAAAAAAAAAAAAAAAAAACCUUAGCUUUCGUUUGUAUCCGUUGGCACUCUCAUUACAUUAUUAGAGACAACAGCUCAUUUGUUUUUCAUUGUUGUCACUAUUGCCAUACAUCUCAACUGCUACUCUACUCUUGAUUGUCUUUACAUAGAUUUAAGAAAAAAAAGAAAAUACCCAUGUUAUUAAUAUAGAGGUCUAAUUGAGACAAAUAAAUAUAAGUGAAAAAAAUAAAAGUUGAGUGGGGCAAUUUCAUACGCCCCACUUCGUAAAAGAGAGCAAUGAUCAUGGUGGCCGACCUGGCUCUAUCUAUAAGUGAACAUGUAAAAUGUAAUUAAAUAAAUGUGUGCCAGCCGUAGUUUAAUUGUAGUUGCUCAUGAUUAAAUUGCCUACAGCUGCAAUCCUUACUGUUACAUACUUCUGCACGUUAUACAUCUCCUUUUGUUACCGGUAAAUUGCAAGUUUUAGAGGACUUACAUGCAGCAUCUAGAGAUUUUUAAUGAACUUGCUC
RNAcentral lists this long non-coding RNA (1410 nucleotides) under Ananas comosus (pineapple). RNAcentral describes it as "long non-coding RNA (ACOM_LNC007736)". The record is from RNAcentral. Lineage: Eukaryota; Viridiplantae; Streptophyta; Magnoliopsida; Poales; Bromeliaceae.